GCCUUGCACAGUAGUCCAGCGGUAAGGGUGUAGAUCAGGCCCGUCUGUUUCUCCCCCGGAGCUCGCUCCCUUGGCUUCCCUUAUAUAUUUUAACAUCAGAAACAGACAUUAAACAUCUACUGAUCCAAUUUCGCCGGCGUACGGCCACGAUCGGGAGGGUGGGAAUCUCGGGGGUCUUCCGAUCCUAAUCCAUGAUGAUUACGACCUGAGUCACUAAAGACGAUGGCAUGAUGAUCCGGCGAUGAAAAUAGCC
RNAcentral lists this unclassified non-coding RNA (253 nucleotides) under Bombyx mori (domestic silkworm). Its description in RNAcentral is "R2Bm 3'UTR RNA from Bombyx mori (PDB 8GH6, chain R)". The record is from RNAcentral. Lineage: Eukaryota; Metazoa; Arthropoda; Insecta; Lepidoptera; Bombycidae.